RNAcentral lists this ribosomal RNA (253 nucleotides) under uncultured bacterium. Its description in RNAcentral is "partial 16S ribosomal RNA". It matches the Rfam family "Bacterial small subunit ribosomal RNA", at positions 524 to 776 of the family's 1533-position model. The record is from RNAcentral.
UACGAAGGGGGCUAGCGUUGCUCGGAAUCACUGGGCGUAAAGGGCGCGUAGGCGGCCAUUCAAGUCGGGGGUGAAAGCCCAGGGCUCAACCCUGGAAUUGCCUUCGAUACUGUUUGGCUAGAGACCGGAAGAGGUUAGUGGAACUGCGAGUGUAGAGGUGAAAUUCGUAGAUAUUCGCAAGAACACCAGUGGCGAAGGCGGCCCCCUGGUUGGAUACUGACGCUGAGACGCGAAAGCGUGGGGAGCAAACAGG